This 313-nucleotide unclassified non-coding RNA is filed under the name Hevea brasiliensis (rubber tree). The record is from RNAcentral. Lineage: Eukaryota; Viridiplantae; Streptophyta; Magnoliopsida; Malpighiales; Euphorbiaceae.
GAAAGGUUACAGAUGAAAAGAAUUUUGACACUGCUACUAGAGAAAAUGUUUAGGAAGAUGGAUGGUCUACUUGAUUGUACUGAGUUGGAACGUGAAGCAGUUCAUAGUUUUUCAUGAAUACUUAGCAGAGGACAUGCCCUUAUCAGAAUAUACAUACCGGAGAUCGGGAGCUUAGGAGUUGCUUUGAUCUUUUUAUUGUAUGGCUGUAAAAUUCUGGAACACGCUAAUGCAUGUUAAAACUAUAUAUUAGCAUUAUUUUGACUCCUAAAAUUAGGAUUCAAAGUUAAUUAAGCUCCUAAACAAAUUUCAGGGA